Ictidomys tridecemlineatus (thirteen-lined ground squirrel) is the source of this 474-nucleotide non-coding RNA. The record is from RefSeq and is a predicted model, not a curated record. Lineage: Eukaryota; Metazoa; Chordata; Mammalia; Rodentia; Sciuridae.
GUCACUGUAGUAUGCUUAUUUUAAGUCCUUUGGGUCUGUCAGCUCCUUUGAAAUACCUUUUGAUAGUUCUUUCUAGUGGAGCUUUACAGAAAGACAGCAUUGCUAUUGGGGAAGACCAUGAAUUCUGGAGCCAUCCUUAUGGAGAAUUGGUGAGGUCCUAGGAUUUGAAAAUGAAUAAGACGUGGUGCUCAAGGAGUCCAUAACCCAGAGGAGGAGGAGAAAGGAAGAAGCCACAAAGGGAAUGGGCUAAGAUAUCAUGGAAACCUUGGAGAGGCGACUGAGUUGUGGGAGUGCAAAGAAGACUUCCUGGAGAUGUCAUCCAGGCAAAAUUAACCAGCAGGUAAGAAAACUGCAGCUCAGUUAAAAUAAGCAAACUGCCAAAACUCAAGUAAGUUACAAGAUGCAGACCUGGAACUAAAACCCAUGUUUCUGAAUUUAAGUCAAUUCAUUCAUACAAUAAAUAUUUAUUGACUA